AUCCAGGUGACGAGUUCCAAAUAGGACGAAACGCGCAUUCUGGAU
Molecule: non-coding RNA, 45 nt
Filed under: Schistosoma mattheei
Lineage: Eukaryota; Metazoa; Platyhelminthes; Trematoda; Strigeidida; Schistosomatidae
Source: RNAcentral